This 253-nucleotide unclassified non-coding RNA is filed under the name uncultured Micrococcales bacterium. RNAcentral's name for it is "contains 16S-23S intergenic spacer region". It matches the Rfam family "Bacterial small subunit ribosomal RNA", at positions 524 to 776 of the family's 1533-position model. Lineage: Bacteria; Bacillati; Actinomycetota; Actinomycetes; Micrococcales. The record is from RNAcentral.
UACGUAGGGCGCAAGCGUUGUCCGGAAUUAUUGGGCGUAAAGAGCUCGUAGGCGGCUUGUCGCGUCUGCUGUGAAAACCCGGGGCUCAACCCCGGGCCUGCAGUGGGUACGGGCAGGCUAGAGUGUGGUAGGGGAGACCGGAAUUCCUGGUGUAGCGGUGAAAUGCGCAGAUAUCAGGAGGAACGCCGAUGGCGAAGGCAGGUCUCUGGGCUGUUACUGACGCUGAGAAGCGAAAGCAUGGGGAGCGAACAGG